CCGAGCCGGCAGAAUCAACCCACUCAGGUCCCUUUCCCUCACGUGGAAGCUUUGUUCUUUUGUUUUUCACAAUAAGUCUUGCUGCUGCUCAUUCUGUGGAUCCCUGCUGCGGUUAUGAGCUGUAAUGCUCAUAGCUAAGGUCUGCAGGUUCAAGUCUUGAAACCAGCGAGACUACAGACCUACCGGAAGAAACUGGCAACUCCAGACGCGAGGCCUUUAAGAGUGUAACACUCACGCGAAGGUCUGCAGCUUCACUCCUGAAGCCAGCCAGACCAUGAACUCACCAGAAGAAAUAACUCUGGAGACAUCUGAAGAUCUGAAGGAACAAACUCCGGACACACCAGCUUUAAGAACUGUAACACUCACCGCGAGGGUCCGAGGGUCCAAGGGUCCGUGGCUUCAUUCUUGAAAUCGGCCAGACCAAGAACCCACAAAUUCCAGACACAACAUCAUUUCCUGUGGGAGCGUAUUCCGGAAUCACAGAGCAUGACUGUGAGAUCUCAGAUAUCCGGCUGUCACAGAGGAAGUGGGAAUUUUCAACCAUGAAUGUCGUCAUCUUUUCAAUGUGAAGGUUUGCUACUGCCAAAUAAGAAACACCAUUUUGUUUUCAGAUGAAAACUAAUGUGAGGUCAAGGCACCAGCCCGCUGUCGGCUGGCACAACCACUCCCGUGGCCUGGGCUUCAGAUUCUCCCUGUAGCUGCAGGCAUUAAAUUAUGAUGAAGGCCACAGAAAAAUAAUUAAGGUCAAAGUCUAGAAUCAAGUGUCAGCCUAUGUUAUGGACAUCACAUUUAUGUACCAUUGGCUCAUGAGGGUGGAGUGCUCAUGAAUGGAAUUAGUGACCUUAUGAAAGAGAGACUAGAGAGCUGUCUCAUCCCUUCUGCUGUGUGAGGACCUGGUGAAAAGAUGUCAGGUAUGAAACAGAAAGCGAGGCCUCAGCAGACACUGCAUCUUUUGGUGCCUUGAUCUUGGACUUUCCAGCCUCCAGAACUG
Long non-coding RNA from Symphalangus syndactylus (siamang), 991 nucleotides. RefSeq lists it as uncharacterized. Lineage: Eukaryota; Metazoa; Chordata; Mammalia; Primates; Hylobatidae. The record is from RefSeq and is a predicted model, not a curated record.